RNAcentral lists this transfer-messenger RNA (360 nucleotides) under Candidatus Methylospira mobilis. RNAcentral describes it as "Methylospira mobilis Standard tmRNA". It matches the Rfam family "transfer-messenger RNA". From Rfam's summary of the family: Bacterial tmRNA, also known as 10Sa RNA or SsrA, is named for its dual tRNA and mRNA-like properties. Its role is to liberate the mRNA from a stalled ribosome. To accomplish this part of the tmRNA is used as a reading frame that ends in a translation stop signal. The record is from Rfam by way of RNAcentral. Lineage: Bacteria; Pseudomonadati; Pseudomonadota; Gammaproteobacteria; Methylococcales; Methylococcaceae.
GGGGGCGACAUGGCUUCGACGUGGAUCGCGAAACCCAAGGUGCAUGCCGAGGAGCAGGCUACCUCGUAAAUCCAUCUGCAAACAAUAUAGUUGCCAACGACGACAACUACGCUCUAGCUGCUUAAGCCAGCUAGCCUUCGCCCUGAAGCCCGCUCAUAGGCGUCAGGUCAGCGGGGGUAAUCUAAUUGUGAGAUCGCGUUGAAGCUCGUCUGGGGCGGAUAUGCUAAAAAUCACCAGAAUCGCUUUAUUACUUCCCCGCCACCCGGGUAGUGUAAAGUUAAAUCCAAAGGGCCGGAUAAGCAUGUAGAGCCAAAGGCAGAGGAUUUGCGGACGCGGGUUCAAUCCCCGCCGCCUCCACCA